AUGGGCAGCGCCGGGCAGCAUGGUCCUGCAUGGCCGGACGGCACAGCACGGCACGGCACGGCGCGGCGCGGCUGUCCCGGUGCAGCACGGCGUGAGCAGCCUGGCAUGGCAUGGGCAGCACGGCGCAGCACAGCUCGGCGCAGCACAGCACGGCACAGCAUGGAUGGCGCAUGUGCAACCGGGAUGGUGCAACGGCGCGGGCUCAUCCCUGCUGCUGCGGACCUGCAGCCCCGCUGGCUUCUGGGGAUGGCCAUGGGGAUGGGGACAUUCCCAGCCGCUGGUCCCAAAUUGCAGCUGCAGCAUGAGCACCACGCAGAGCAAUGCACGAGCCGGAGGGGCUUCCUGCCCCGUGCAGCGAGGCGUCUGCCCCGGCCUGCUCUCUGCAUGGCACGACUCCCCCUCGGUGUGGUGCUGAGCCCCCCUCCGCUGUCAUCAGCCCGUGCCCCCCCCGGCCAGCUGGGGACUGGGGUCUCUCUCCCACAGCCGCUUGGGCAGAGCAGCCCGAGGCAAGAGAAAGAACUUGUUAGAAAACCGAAAGGCUGCUCCGGGUUGCAGGUGGGAGGGAGGAAACGCGUCCUAAAAAUACAGCAGCGCCUGCACGGUCCCCGAAGGAGGCUCGGCAGAUGGCACGUCUCGGGCGGCCACCUGGGCUCCCGCAGAUGGCACCCGGGGCUCCCUGCUCCGUGCCCCCGCCCAGGGCUCCCAGGGAGCUGUGCCCGGGAAAGGGCAGCAGGAUGCGGGCGCGGGAGGGUGCUCGGCGGCUUCCCGGACGCCAUGGGGCCACGGCUGGGGACAGAGCGGGGCAAAGCGGGGGGAAACAGGAAGGUUUGGGGUCGGAGCUGCCGCCGGGGCCCCUUGGCCGAGCGCCGCGCUGCUGGGCGAAGCGGGGCGCCCGGGAGGGAAGUGCGGGCGGCUCCGCGUGCUGCGGGGGCACGGGGGAAGCCCUGGCACGGGGCCACGGCGCCGGCAAAAGGACCACACGGCUACGAGCCACGGACCCAAACCAGCCGGGACGGCGUGCAGCCCGCGUGCCCGGGGUGCAGGCUCCGGGGGGGGGGACGGGACGCUGUGGCUGCCCCCGUGCAAACCCCUGCCCCGCUGCAGCAAGCACCCCCAUCCCACGUGCCGGGGGGUGUCCCAGCUCCGUCCUCCCCUGCCGGCGAUGCCCGUGGCCGGCUGCCGAGGGACGAGGGCUCGCCGCAAGGGCCUCACGGCCGCGCCGGCCGGGGCAUGGGCAGAGGUUUCUGCGGCGGCGGGGCUGCGCCGCCGGGCGAGCGCUGCCGGCCCGCGAGGCUGCAGGUUUCCGUCCGCUGUCGUGUGCUCUCGCCUCUUCCCCUUUUAUUCCUCGCCGGGCUGCCGGUGGGCGCAGCGCCUCCGGCUGGGGGUUUUGCUGGGACGCCCUGCGACGAGGGCACGGGCUCCCCUCCGGCUAGAUAUCGGAAGCGUGCAGGGGAUUAA
This 1458-nucleotide long non-coding RNA is filed under the name Apteryx owenii (little spotted kiwi). RNAcentral describes it as "lncRNA (ENSAOWG00000012368.1)". The record is from RNAcentral. Lineage: Eukaryota; Metazoa; Chordata; Aves; Apterygiformes; Apterygidae.